This 90-nucleotide transfer RNA is filed under the name Actinomycetes bacterium. Its description in RNAcentral is "Actinobacteria bacterium tRNA-Ser". It matches the Rfam family "tRNA". Rfam says of the family: Transfer RNA (tRNA) molecules are approximately 80 nucleotides in length. Their secondary structure includes four short double-helical elements and three loops (D, anti-codon, and T loops). Lineage: Bacteria; Bacillati; Actinomycetota; Actinomycetes. The record is from RNAcentral.
GGAGGGGUCGCAUAGUCUGGCCUAGUGCACACGCUUGGAGAGCGUGAGUCCUUCACGGGACCGAGAGUUCGAAUCUCUCCCCCUCCGCCA